CUGAACCCCAGUUCCUGGUGAUGCCAAAUAGCCACCCCAGUGCCCCAAAACCCUGACACACCCAGUGCUCCCAUGCCCCAAAAACCCGACACACCCAGUGCCCCCAGUGCCCCCACUGCUCC
Molecule: long non-coding RNA, 122 nt
Organism: Oenanthe melanoleuca
Lineage: Eukaryota; Metazoa; Chordata; Aves; Passeriformes; Muscicapidae
Exons: 2
Source: RefSeq, a predicted model, not a curated record